UACAGAGGGUGCAAGCGUUGCUCGGAAUCAUUGGGCGUAAAGGGUAGGUAGGUGGUCUCAUUUGUCUAGGGUGAAAUCCUUGAGCUUAACUCAAGAAGUGCCCUGGAAACGGUGAGACUAGAGUCCUGGAGAGGGUCGUGGAAUUCCCGGUGUAGCGGUGAAAUGCGUAGAGAUCGGGAGGAACACCAGAGGCGAAGGCGGCGACCUGGACAGGUACUGACACUGAAAUACGAAAGCGUGGGGAGCAAACAGG
Molecule: ribosomal RNA, 253 nt
Filed under: uncultured bacterium
Lineage: Bacteria
Description: partial 16S ribosomal RNA
Rfam family: Bacterial small subunit ribosomal RNA
Source: RNAcentral